Molecule: ribosomal RNA, 256 nt
Filed under: uncultured bacterium
Lineage: Bacteria
Description: partial 16S ribosomal RNA
Rfam family: Bacterial small subunit ribosomal RNA
Source: RNAcentral
UACGUAGGUGGCAAGCGUUGUCCGGAUUUACUGGGCGUAAAGAGCGCGCAGGCGGUCGUUCAAGUCGCGUGUGAAAGCCCCCCGGCUCAACUGGGGAGGGUCACGCGAUACUGAUCGACUCGAAGGCAGGAGAGGGUAGUGGAAUUCCCGGUGUAGUGGUGAAAUGCGUAGAUAUCGGGAGGAACACCAGUGGCGAAGGCGACUACCUGGCCUGUUUCUUGACGCUGAGGCGCGAAAGCUAGGGGAGCAAACGGGG